Molecule: transfer RNA, 67 nt
Filed under: Lepidodactylus lugubris
Lineage: Eukaryota; Metazoa; Chordata; Lepidosauria; Squamata; Gekkonidae
Also listed under: 1 other name
Description: tRNA-Trp
Source: RNAcentral
AAAUUUAGGUUAAACUAAACCAAGGGCCUUCAAAGCCUUAAAUAGGGUCAACAAGCUCUAGUUUCUG